RNAcentral lists this long non-coding RNA (238 nucleotides) under Ananas comosus (pineapple). RNAcentral's name for it is "long non-coding RNA (ACOM_LNC036786)". Lineage: Eukaryota; Viridiplantae; Streptophyta; Magnoliopsida; Poales; Bromeliaceae. The record is from RNAcentral.
CACGAGGGCAAGCAACAACGGAAGCGAAAGCUCUAAGCUAAAACAUACAACCAUACAUGAUAUUUGAUUACAUUUUAACCAAAUACAAGUAAACUACAACUAUUACAUUCUUUUUCCAUUCAAUUAUAAUUCUUUACAUUUUUGUCAUUCUCCAAAAUACAUGAUGUGUUUUUAAAUUUACAAUUCUAAAUCAACAAAAUAAAAGUUGAUACAUGUAAACAAAAGGAAUGACUAAUGC